GAUGAACGCUGACAGAAUGCUUAACACAUGCAAGUCAACUUGAAUUUGGGUUUUUAACUUAGGUUUGGGUGGCGGACGGGUGAGUAACGCGUAAAGAACUUGCCUCACAGCUAGGGACAACAUUUGGAAACGAAUGCUAAUACCUAAUAUUAUGAUAAUAGGGCAUCCUAUAAUUAUGAAAGCUAUAAGCGCUGUGAGAGAGCUUUGCGUCCCAUUAGCUAGUUGGAGAGGUAACGGCUCACCAAGGCGAUGAUGGGUAGCCGGCCUGAGAGGGUGAUCGGCCACAAGGGGACUGAGACACGGCCCUUACUCCUACGGGAGGCAGCAGUGGGGAAUAUUGGACAAUGGACUGAGAGUCUGAUCCAGCAAUUCUGUGUGCACGAUGAAGUUUUUCGGAAUGUAAAGUGCUUUCAGUUGGGAAGAAACAAAUGACGGUACCAACAGAAGAAGUGACGGCUAAAUACGUG
This 467-nucleotide ribosomal RNA is filed under the name uncultured bacterium. RNAcentral describes it as "partial 16S ribosomal RNA". It matches the Rfam family "Bacterial small subunit ribosomal RNA", at positions 28 to 507 of the family's 1533-position model. The record is from RNAcentral.